Non-coding RNA from Rhodocollybia butyracea, 105 nucleotides. Lineage: Eukaryota; Fungi; Basidiomycota; Agaricomycetes; Agaricales; Omphalotaceae. The record is from the annotation of a GenBank genome assembly.
UCCCUGGUAGUAUAUCGGCUACUACACGCGCUUGGCAUGGACCGGAAGUAUAAAGUCUCUAUCUAUAAACCACGCGAAAGCUGGGUUCAACUCCCAGCCAGGGUC